GAGUUUGAUCCUGGCUCAGAUUGAACGCUGGCGGCAGGCCUAACACAUGCAAGUCGAGCGGUAGAGAGAAGCUUGCUUCUCUUGAGAGCGGCGGACGGGUGAGUAAUGCCUAGGAAUCUGCCUGGUAGUGGGGGAUAACGCUCGGAAACGGACGCUAAUACCGCAUACGUCCUACGGGAGAAAGCAGGGGACCUUCGGGCCUUGCGCUAUCAGAUGAGCCUAGGUCGGAUUAGCUAGUUGGUGAGGUAAUGGCUCACCAAGGCGACGAUCCGUAACUGGUCUGAGAGGAUGAACAGUCACACUGGAACUGAGACACGGUCCAGACUCCUACGGGAGGCAGCAGUGGGGAAUAUUGGACAAUGGGCGAAAGCCUGAUCCAGCCAUGCCGCGUGUGUGAAGAAGGUCUUCGGAUUGUAAAGCACUUUAAGUUGGGAGGAAGGGCAGUAAAUUAAUACUUUGCUGUUUUGACGUUACCGACAGAAUAAGCACCGGCUAACUCUGUGCCAGCCGCCG
This 513-nucleotide ribosomal RNA is filed under the name uncultured bacterium. RNAcentral describes it as "bacterial SSU rRNA". It matches the Rfam family "Bacterial small subunit ribosomal RNA", at positions 9 to 517 of the family's 1533-position model. The record is from RNAcentral.